GUAUUAGGUGGACUGGAGAAAGAGGCCCGCGUGAAUUAAGUGUAGUUCUCUUAUGCACUGGCGGACUCUGGUCGCCCUUCCUUGUGAAGGCUGCCUGGGUAGCCGUAGAGGACGAGGCCACUCUAAAGCCUCGUUUUCCCAGCGGAAUUUUAACUAUUCUAAGGAUGUCCUUACAGCCAGUUCCCCACUCCGCUACUCAGAGUGUGUCAGACUUUACCCUGUCCAUUCAACUCCAGAAAAACCGGGAGGUCUAGAUUCGGAAGAUUAAAUUUACCUUUGAAUUAGGACAUGUAAAAUAGGAAGUUAAUAUUAGCAUCCUAAUGACAAAAGUUUUCUCGUUAUCAUACUUGACUCAAAUGGGAAUCUUACGGAUAUUAAUGUUUUUUCCAGAAACAGGUUUGAAAGGUAUUUCAAGGAUAAAUCUGGGGAAAGGGAUGGAAGCAACUGAUUUUUAAUUUUUAGAUAGUACUCUCAGAGCAUUUAUUUAGUCCAAAACUGUUAAUUUAAUGAAUUAGGCUAAACUAGACGCUGGGGUAACAAAGCUGAGUUAGAUACCCUCUCCUCUGAGGCAGCUAAAGAGAAGGAAAGUCUGGUGGCUGACAAGUAAACCAACAGUUAUGUUC
Molecule: long non-coding RNA, 623 nt
Filed under: Homo sapiens (human)
Lineage: Eukaryota; Metazoa; Chordata; Mammalia; Primates; Hominidae
Description: non-protein coding lnc-SLF1-10:4
Source: RNAcentral